RNAcentral lists this ribosomal RNA (470 nucleotides) under Bolitoglossa omniumsanctorum. Its description in RNAcentral is "partial large subunit ribosomal RNA". It matches the Rfam family "Bacterial large subunit ribosomal RNA", at positions 1819 to 2597 of the family's 2925-position model. The record is from RNAcentral. Lineage: Eukaryota; Metazoa; Chordata; Amphibia; Caudata; Plethodontidae.
CGCCUUUUGUAGUACAUAUAUAAAAGGUCCUGCCUGCCCAAUGACUUGUUUUAAUGGCCGCGGUAUUGUGACCGUGCAAAGGUAGCGUAAUCAUUUGUCUUUUAAAUAAAGACCAGUAUGAACGGCAAGACGAAAGCCUCACUGUCUCCCUAGCCUAAUCAAUGAAAUUGAUCUUCCCGUGCAGAAGCGGAAAUAUAAAUAUAAGACGAGAAGACCCUGUGGAGCUUUAAACUCCAGUUUUAGGUUGGGGCGACCAUGAGGUAUAAUAUAACCCUCACGACAUAAUCAAGAAGGACACUUCAAACAUUGACCCAAUAAUUGAUCAACGAACCAAGUUACCCCAGGGAUAACAGCGCAAUCUACUCAAAGAGUCCAUAUCGACGAGCAGGUUUACGACCUCGAUGUUGGAUCAGGACCCCCAAAUAGCGCAACAGCUAUUAAAGGUUCGUUUGUUCAACGAUUAAAGUCCU